Molecule: long non-coding RNA, 304 nt
Filed under: Trifolium pratense (red clover)
Lineage: Eukaryota; Viridiplantae; Streptophyta; Magnoliopsida; Fabales; Fabaceae
Description: long non-coding RNA (TPRA_LNC012176)
Source: RNAcentral
AAUUAGGGUACUUUAUUAGAUAAAAGGGAUCAUGAGCCAAGGAAUUGGACUUAAUCUAUUUUGUUAAAUUAUCGUAACUAUUAGAGUUUGCUUGUUGAGAAUUAGAACCUAGAGUACCAAAUAGGGAUACAGAGAGGAUUCGAAACAAUCCUUAAUCGCUUCGCUCCAUUAAAAAGUCUUCGUCAAUUUAUUGCAAUUUUUAUUUUAAUUGUCUUAUAAACCAAAUAUAUGCCAUGCAUACCCCCUUAUAUUUACGACCUAAAUACGAUUCAAUUGUUUUGUCGAGAUUGAAACAAUCCCUGCG